AAAUUCACACAUGGAGGACAAAAUUAAAAUAUAUAAUAUAGAAGUGCAGAGAAGGAAAUUUACAGCUUGCUUUCCCAAUAUAAAAAUUUUCAUACUGCAAGAAGACACAAGAAUAAUGAAUUAGAUGCUGAGGCCUGGACACUGACUUCAAGGCCACAGGCUGAACUGGACUCCUGGAGGAGAGUCGCUUUCAUCAUUUCUCUCACUGGUAUUGACAGAACUUUGGAACAAGUGAAGGAAGUUUCUGAUGAGGACUAAAG
This 260-nucleotide long non-coding RNA is filed under the name Fukomys damarensis (Damara mole-rat). RNAcentral describes it as "lncRNA (ENSFDAG00000023487.1)". Lineage: Eukaryota; Metazoa; Chordata; Mammalia; Rodentia; Bathyergidae. The record is from RNAcentral.